UUUCAAAAGUUCACUUUAGUCCUAGUUUUCACAAAAACUGUUCAAGUUGGUCCUUUUUGGUAACGACGUUAAGUUCACUAACGGCAGAGCUGCCGGGUGUGUAAUGUUUGAUGAUGUGGCAUUGUAAGUUGUUUUAAAAAAUAAUUAAUGAUGACGUGUAAAUGAAUAUAGUUAGGGUAAAAUAAAAAAAUGAAUUAGGGGUAUUAAAAAAAAAUUAUUAGUUGUGAUGUGGAAUUUAAUAAAAUUAGGGUUAAAAUAAAAAUUGAAAUUGGGAUAAUUAAGUAAAGUGAUUUUGGUCAGAUGCAAAUUUGGGUAAAAUCUGCGAUUUUGAUUGAGAUUUUCUGGCAAUUGGGAUUAGGGUUCAUCUUGAUUGGGAUUUUCUGGCAAUUGGGAUUAGGGUUCAUGCUUGUGACCACUGCAGCACAGUGCGAAUCGUUAUUGCGAAAACUUUCGUCUUUGCAAUCCUUUUCCGAAACCAAAAAGCUGCAUGCAUUCAUGCUCAUACUUGGUCUAUUCUCCUGUGCCUUCUACUCGUCCCGAACAUUUCCACACCCAAAUUCAUAGCACUCUCGAACUCCAAAACCUGCAAAACCAACACUAACAAUCGAAACAAUCUACCAAAGCAGAGCAGAGGUGACCUCAACACUCACGCAUGCAGUGUAGCAUACCUUCUCCGCAAUCAAAAAUAAAAAAACUCCAAAACUCCUAACUGUCAACAGAACUUAGCAAUCGAUAAUUCAGUACCUGAAAUCAACAAAACUCAGUGCCGCAACACAAAGUCG
This 782-nucleotide long non-coding RNA is filed under the name Vigna radiata. Its description in RNAcentral is "long non-coding RNA (VRAD_LNC013268)". The record is from RNAcentral. Lineage: Eukaryota; Viridiplantae; Streptophyta; Magnoliopsida; Fabales; Fabaceae.